This 376-nucleotide ribosomal RNA is filed under the name uncultured organism. RNAcentral describes it as "partial 16S ribosomal RNA". It matches the Rfam family "Bacterial small subunit ribosomal RNA", at positions 527 to 896 of the family's 1533-position model. The record is from RNAcentral.
GUAGGUGGCAAGCGUUGUCCGGAAUUAUUGGGCGUAAAGCGCGCGCAGGUGGUUCUUUAAGUCUGAUGUGAAAGCCCCCGGCUCAACCGGGGAGGGUCAUUGGAAACUGGGGAACUUGAGUGCAGGAGAGGAAAGUGGAAUUCCACGUGUAGCGGUGAAAUGCGUAGAUAUGUGGAGGAACACCAGUGGCGAAGGCGACUUUCUGGCCUGUAACUAACACUGAGGCGCGAAAGCGUGGGGAGCAAACAGGAUUAGAUACCCUGGUAGUCCACGCCGUAAACGAUGAGUGCUAAGUGUUGGGGGGUUUUACCCGCCCCCUCAGUGCUGCAGCUAACGCAUUAAGCACUCCGCCUGGGGGAGUACGGUCGCAAGACUG